UCGCAAAGGCGGGCUCCCUAGGGUCCACGCAGAUCUCAGCUCGAGCGUCCGUCUCCAUCAAAGACCCCUUCUCUCUCGGCCGUCUUUCUCCGAACACCUCAUCCGGGGGUGACCUGGGUCUUCCAGCCGCUGCUCCCCUGGAGCCCUGGCCCCUCGCCCUCUGUCUCCAGCUGCAAACCGCAGGAGCGCUUGAGGACGGGGCUUCUCAGCUUCCACCCCCACCCCAGCCCCGACCCGUGGCCAGCAUGAAGGACAAGCUGGGAGUGCAGCCACUUCCAACGUAGGUCUCCUGGCCGUGGCCCCAGUAACCCUAUGUGCCCUCUGGGCUGCCCCACUCACACACACACACUGGGCCUCACUCAGCGUCAUGGAGGAGUUCCCAUCGUGGUGCAGUGGUUAACAAAUCCGACUAGGAACCAUGAGGUUGCGGGUUCGAUCCCUGGCCUUGCUCCGUGGGUUCAGGAUCCGGCGUUGCCCUGAGCUGUGGCGUAGGUUGCAGAUGCGACUCGGAUCCUGCGUUGCUGUGGCUCUGGCGUAGGCCGAUGGCUAUGGCUCUGAUUAGACCCCUAGCCUGGGAAUCUGCCUAUGCUGCGGGAAUGGCCCAAGAAAUGGCAAAAAGACAAAAAAAGAAAAAAAAGAAGUAUCACAGAGGGGGCAGGGAAGGCCCCUCGUAAGAAAACGGAAUUCUCCACUUCGCCCCCACAUCAGGCCUGCUUUUAACCCUGGGCAGAGUCAAAGGGACAGAGGAGCCCCUGAAAUGUGCAGGUAGUUCCUGAGCGCUUAUUGGGGACACCCGGUCCUGGCAAAGCGCUCCUGCUGAACAGAUUGGGUUUGGCUGUCUUUUAGCCAUGUGGGCAGUUUUAAAGGAGACGUUGCUGCGUUCCAGAGACACAACAAGAGCGCUCCAGGCAGAGGGACCCAUGGGGGUGGGAGCGUGGCUCCCAGACUUCCGCUGCUUGGUUUGCACAGGGUCUGUGUCCAGGGGGGCUCAUGGCAAGAAGCUACUUCUUUGUCAAGGGAGCGAUUCCUGGCCAGCAGCGACGGAGAAGCCAAAACAGCCGUGAAUUUAGAGACACGCCAGCCUCAGCAGCCACUCCGCUCUGUGCCUCUGCCUCUUUCCAACAUCAGAACACGGGCCUUGAGUGUCUGCCUUCCUCCCCAGUCCUCAAGUUUUCAUAUGAGGUGGCUAUUUCAGUGCAGUCUUACGUGGAAACAACUCAAAUGUCCAUCCACAGACGAUUGGAUUAGGAAGAUGUGGAAUACAUUGGAUUAGGAAGAUAUGGAACACAAUGGAAUACUACUCAGCCAUAAAAAAGAAUGCAGCAAUGCCAUUUGCAGCAACAUGGAUGGAACUAGAGAUGCUCAUCCUGAGUGAAGUAAGUCAGAAAGAGAAAGACAAAUGCCACAUGAUGUCACUUCUGUCUGGAAUCUAAUAUAAGGCACACAUGAACCUUUCCACAGAAAAGAAAAUUAUGGACUUGCAGAGUAGACUUGUGGUUGCCAAGGGGGAGGGGGAAGGAGUGGGGUGGUUGGGGAGUUUGGGGUUAAGAGAUGCAAACUAUUGCCUUUGGAACGGACAAGCAAUGAGAUCCUGCUGUGUAGCCCUGGGAACUAUGGCUAGUCACUUAAGAAGGAGGAUGAUAAUGUGAGAAAAAAGAAUCUAUACAUGUAUGUGUAACUGGGACACCAUGCUGUACAGUAGGGAAAAAAAUGUAUUGGGGAAACAACUAUUUAAAAAAAAUAAUAAUAAUAAAUGCAGUCUUGGUGGCA
RNAcentral lists this long non-coding RNA (1770 nucleotides) under Sus scrofa (pig). Its description in RNAcentral is "lncRNA (ENSSSCG00050067043.1)". The record is from RNAcentral. Lineage: Eukaryota; Metazoa; Chordata; Mammalia; Artiodactyla; Suidae.